Molecule: long non-coding RNA, 316 nt
Organism: Hyla sarda
Lineage: Eukaryota; Metazoa; Chordata; Amphibia; Anura; Hylidae
Exons: 3
Source: RefSeq, a predicted model, not a curated record
GUGCUGAGGAGACGUUAGGCUGUUUAUCUCACAGCAAGAUCCUCACACAGGGAGAAGAGGAGUGUGGGGGCUACUCUCAGUGAAGGCUUUGCACAAAGACAAGGUGGAUCUGAUAUUGACGUCUUUCUCUCACUCCCUGCAUGAAAUUGAACCGUACUAGAACUUAAAGGGAAGGUGAAGCGUGGGUGUAAGAAGCACUUAGGGUGAGCUCAGAUUGUGAGAGCAGGAGCAGUUCAGCAACAUAAUAGCUAAGCUGUGGCUUAUGGAGUGACCACACUUAAAGGAUGUUUACUUUGCUCAUUUACUGUAUAUCAGA